This 459-nucleotide ribosomal RNA is filed under the name uncultured Prevotella sp. Its description in RNAcentral is "bacterial SSU rRNA". It matches the Rfam family "Bacterial small subunit ribosomal RNA", at positions 746 to 1208 of the family's 1533-position model. Lineage: Bacteria; Pseudomonadati; Bacteroidota; Bacteroidia; Bacteroidales; Prevotellaceae. The record is from RNAcentral.
CUUAAGCUCGAAGGUGCGGGUAUCGAACAGGAUUAGAUACCCUGGUAGUCCGCACAGUAAACGAUGGAUGCCCGCUGUUAGCGCCUGGCGUUAGCGGCUAAGCGAAAGCAUUAAGCAUCCCACCUGGGGAGUACGCCGGCAACGGUGAAACUCAAAGGAAUUGACGGGGGCCCGCACAAGCGGAGGAACAUGUGGUUUAAUUCGAUGAUACGCGAGGAACCUUACCCGGGCUUGAAUUGCAGAGGAAUUAUUUAGAGAUAAAUAUGCCCUUCGGGGUCUCUGUGAAGGUGCUGCAUGGUUGUCGUCAGCUCGUGCCGUGAGGUGUCGGCUUAAGUGCCAUAACGAGCGCAACCCCUUUUCUUAGUUGCCAUCAGAUAAUGCUGGGCACUCUGGGAACACUGCCACCGCAAGGUGUGAGGAAGGUGGGGAUGACGUCAAAUCAAUCGAAUUCCCGCGGCC